AGAUUUAUCCUCGUACCUUUUGCAUCAUGAUUUAGCUAGAACCGUCCAAGCAAAGAGCACUUUAGUUUGGAACCCCGAAACUACGUGAGCUACUCCAAGACAGCCUAUUUAUAGGGCGAACCCGUCUCUGUGGCAAAAGAGUGGGAAGAACUUCGAGUAGGGGUGACAGACCUAUCGAACCUAGUUAUAGCUGGUUGCCUGAGAAAUGAAUAGAAGUUCAGCCUCCUAGCUUCUACCUUCACCCCAAUACAACCAAUUGAUAUUAAAGAAGCUAAGAGAGUUAGUCAAAGGGGGUACAGCCCCUUUGAAACAAGAUACAACUUUCCCAGGAGGGUGUGGAUCAUAAUUAUUAAGGUAAAAUGUUAUGGUGGGCUUAAAAGCAGCCACCCUGAUAGAAAGCGUUAAAGCUCGAACAUUAACCUUCUCCCAUGUAUUUAGAUAACAAAAUCCCAACGCCCUAAUAUUAUCAGGCUACCUCAUGCAAACAUGAGAGUAUUAAUGCUAAUAUGAGUAAUAAGAGAGGCAUGCCUCUCUCCUUGCACACAUGUACA
Molecule: ribosomal RNA, 551 nt
Filed under: Pampus argenteus (silver pomfret)
Lineage: Eukaryota; Metazoa; Chordata; Actinopteri; Scombriformes; Stromateidae
Description: partial 16S ribosomal RNA
Rfam family: Bacterial large subunit ribosomal RNA
Source: RNAcentral